RNAcentral lists this unclassified non-coding RNA (387 nucleotides) under soil metagenome. RNAcentral's name for it is "partial contains 5.8S ribosomal RNA, internal transcribed spacer 2, and large subunit ribosomal RNA". The stretch from base 1 to 120 matches the Rfam family "5.8S ribosomal RNA", at positions 35 to 154 of the family's 154-position model. The record is from RNAcentral.
GAUGAAGAACGUAGCGAAAUGCGAUAAGUAAUGUGAAUUGCAGAAUUCAGUGAAUCAUCGAAUCUUUGAACGCACCUUGCGCUCCUUGGUAUUCCGAGGAGCAUGCCUGUUUGAGUGUCAUGAAAUUCUCAACCUUUUCAGCUUUCUUUGUUGAUCAGGCUUGGAUGUGGGAGUAUGCGGGCUUCUCAGAAGUCGGCUCUCCUGAAGUGCAUUAGCGGGACCUUUGUUGCCUGGCUUUGGUGUGAUAAUUAUCUACGCCAUUGUAGUCAAGCAGCUUAAAAUGAGGUUUCAGCUUCUAACCGUCUCCCCUGAGACAACUUUUUGACAAUUUGACCUCAAAUCAGGUAGGACUACCCGCUGAACUUAAGCAUAUCAAUAAGCGGAGGA